GCACGCCCCGCGGUCUGUCCCGGCCGGCGUUUCCUCAGGUGGGCCCUAGGGGAGCUCGCUCCUCGGCGGAGGCCACGUGGCGGAGCAGCCCCGGCCGUUACGAAGAACUUCCUUUUCCUACUUCCUUAGCUGUCAGGAUGAGGGCGCCGAGAGAAGGGAGGCUAGCGUGGGCUCUGGAUGCGACCUGGGGAGCGAGGCCCCGUGUGUGGCUGCAGGAAAGGCUUCUGUACUAGCUAACCGCGGCCAGGUUAGAGCUCCCUGUCCUCGUUUAUGGGAAAAAUGAAACCUUCAAACAAGUGGCUCUGCCUAGUCUAGAAACCGAUAGUCAGACCCAAUGUGCUGAAAAAUGUUUGGCCGACUUUUGGAAGGAAGAGAAAAACAAAAUUGGAUUAUCUCAAGCAACUCCGAUAUUUGUUUCCUUCCAGGGUGGUUAUUAAUAACUAGUGCCAGAUUCAUCACAGAAAUUACAUUACUUAAAAAAAGAUUGUGUUACUAAAUAUAUAGAUAUAGAUAUUAUAAUAAAUAUAAUAAAACUCCAGCCGGGCAUAGUGACACACGCCUUUAAACCCAGCACUUGGGAGGCAGCAGCAGGCGGAUCUCUGUGAGUUCAAGGCCAGCCUGGUCUACAAAAUUCCAGGAGAGCCAGGGCUGUCACACAGAGAAACAUUGUCUCGAAAAACCAUAAAAUGAAAAACUGUCAUAUUAAUGAAAAGUGGAACGUUGUAAUUUUUAAAAGGGCUAAGCCCCUUAAAAUCCAUGGGUGCAAUUUAGGUCAUCUUAUUCUUUGUUGAUAGAUUGGCAAGUGGGAUGUUUACAGUAUUUUCUUAAGGUAUUUGGUUUCCAGGAGACUUAUCACUGUCAACCACCUUCUUCUACCCACACUAUUAGAUAUAGCUUGAACACCAACCAGCCAGGAUGGAAACCUGUGGAUUCCUUCCAGGCUAAGAAAGAAAAUCUGCAUUUUGGCCUAAAAGAUAAAACUGUCUUAUACACCAAAACUAGAGCCUGCAGAGGCAGAAGGCCAUCAGAUUCCCUGAAGUUGUGAGCUACCUGACAUAGAUGCUGUGAAAUAAACUUCCAAUCCCAGAACAGGAGUUCUCAUGAA
Molecule: non-coding RNA, 1105 nt
Organism: Cricetulus griseus (Chinese hamster)
Lineage: Eukaryota; Metazoa; Chordata; Mammalia; Rodentia; Cricetidae
Source: RefSeq, a predicted model, not a curated record